Molecule: non-coding RNA, 333 nt
Filed under: uncultured fungus
Lineage: Eukaryota; Fungi
Description: partial 18S ribosomal RNA
Rfam family: Group I catalytic intron (bases 9-293)
About the family: Group I catalytic introns are large self-splicing ribozymes.
Source: RNAcentral
UCCUUCUGUAGCAGAGCUUAACGGAGACCUUGCACCCGAGAGGGGGGAGACGACUAUAAACAAGCUUCCAGCGCAAGUCAGCACUGCUGGCAACACAAUCGAAUUGCGGGGACGCUUUAAAGCCCACCAGUACCAACGGCUCCUUAGGGGGCCGGGCGAGCCUAGCUCGAGGUCACAACCUGGUGGGAUGGUACAAUAAGCAAUCCGCAGCGGCAGAGCCGUCCACAGACUAAGUGGUUGUGGGUAGGAGACCCCUAUCUAAGAUAUAGUCGGGCCCGAGGAGCAAUCCCCGGGGCUUCUGCGUCCGUAGGUGAACCUGCGGAAGGAUCAUUA